AGAGCGAACGCUGGCGGCAGGCCUAAUACAUGCAAGUCGAACGGCUCUUCGGAGCAGUGGCGGACGGGUGAGUAACGCGUGGGAAUGUGCCCUUUGGUACGGAACAACUGGGGGAAACUUCAGCUAAUACCGUAUGUGCCCUUCGGGGGAAAGAUUUAUUGCCAUUGGAGCAGCCCGCGUUGGAUUAGCUAGUUGGUGGGGUAAAGGCCCACCAAGGCGACGAUCCAUAGCUGGUCUGAGAGGAUGAUCAGCCACACUGGGACUGAGACACGGCCCAGACUCCUACGGGAGGCAGCAGUAGGGAAUCUUGCGCAAUGGGCGAAAGCCUGACGCAGCCAUGCCGCGUGAAUGAUGAAGGUCUUAGGAUUGUAAAAUUCUUUCACCGGGGAAGAUAAUGACGGUACCCGGAGAAGAAGCCCCGGCUAACUUCGUGCCAGCAGCCGC
This 444-nucleotide ribosomal RNA is filed under the name uncultured soil bacterium. Its description in RNAcentral is "bacterial SSU rRNA". It matches the Rfam family "Bacterial small subunit ribosomal RNA", at positions 26 to 518 of the family's 1533-position model. The record is from RNAcentral.